This 73-nucleotide transfer RNA is filed under the name Myotis brandtii (Brandt's bat). It matches the Rfam family "tRNA". Rfam says of the family: Transfer RNA (tRNA) molecules are approximately 80 nucleotides in length. Their secondary structure includes four short double-helical elements and three loops (D, anti-codon, and T loops). Lineage: Eukaryota; Metazoa; Chordata; Mammalia; Chiroptera; Vespertilionidae. The record is from Rfam by way of RNAcentral.
GCCAAUUUGGCUCAGUGGAUAGAGCGUCAGACUGCAGACUGAAGAGUCCUGGGUUCAAUUCCAGUGAAGGGCA